Long non-coding RNA from Aegilops tauschii subsp. strangulata, 869 nucleotides. RefSeq lists it as uncharacterized. The record is from RefSeq and is a predicted model, not a curated record. NCBI's taxonomy places the organism in Eukaryota, Viridiplantae, Streptophyta, Magnoliopsida, Poales, Poaceae.
UCGCGCCGCCGCCACUCCGUUUUCCUCAGGAUCCCUCCCGAUCCAGCCGAUCCGACCAUCUCCCUCGUUUUCAGCACUGCCCAAUCCAUCGAUCCACCCAACCAGCAGCCCCUUCUCGUCCCCGUACCUGCUGCAGCCGCUCCACGACGGCCAUCCCGACAGCCCCGCCGCCGGCCGACCAAACCAGCAGAUGAGCGCCGGCUUCCUCUCCUUCCCCGUUGUUUUUCUCUCUCCCUGCCUCCUUCUAUCUCUUAGCGCUCUCUCUCUCGUUUUGGACAGGGAACCGAAGGAGGCCGCCAUGGCCUAGGAGUUUCACCACCGCCCCAUCGCCUGGAUCCGUUGCUCCGUCCGGCCUCCCUCGCCUCUCCCGCGUCAGCGGAGGUCGCCUCCGCCCGCCGCCAUCGUCUUCCCGGAGCGCCUCCCCGCCAUGGCCGCCCGAACCUGAAGCUCCAUCCUGCCUCGUUCCACGCCUCGUCUCUGGCCAGAACGAGCCGUCCCAGGCCUCCUCGUCAGACCGGCUCCCCCCGUCAAGUCCUCGCGUCGCCAUCUAGCAGCCAUCGUCGCCGCCCUGCUCUGUUCGUCGCCGUCUCCGUCAGAUCCGGCGAGGUCCUGCGUCCCAGCUUCCAGGUCAUCGCGUCGCCCCACCGGAGGCCACCAGCGCCAUCGCAAUCCUGCGCCUCUGCUUCCCCUUUGUCCCCUGCUUCAGGUCGAGCAGCGCUCGCUGCCUCGCUCGUCGACCACAGCCCCGCAUUGACCAAGUCCCAGCGCCCCUUCCAGCCUCCCUCUCCACCGAACCGGGCCGAAGCCCAUGGUUCCGGUUACGUUGCGUUGGUGAGGAUUCGUUCGACUACGUUGGUUCGUCUACUUCA